GGCUGGUCCGAUGGUAGUGGGUUAUCAGAACUUAUUAACAUUAGUGUCACUAAAGUUGGUAUACAACCUCCCACUGCUAAAUUUGACUGGCUUUAA
Molecule: Y RNA, 96 nt
Filed under: Callithrix jacchus (white-tufted-ear marmoset)
Lineage: Eukaryota; Metazoa; Chordata; Mammalia; Primates; Cebidae
Also listed under: 1 other name
Description: Y RNA (ENSCJAG00000081020.1)
Rfam family: Y RNA
About the family: Y RNAs are components of the Ro ribonucleoprotein particle (Ro RNP), in association with Ro60 and La proteins. The Y RNAs and Ro60 and La proteins are well conserved, but the function of the Ro RNP is not known.
Source: Rfam by way of RNAcentral